AUUGAACGCUGGCGGCAUGCCUUACACAUGCAAGUCGAACGGUAACAGGUCUUCGGAUGCUGACGAGUGGCGAACGGGUGAGUAAUACAUCGGAACGUGCCUAGUAGUGGGGGGUAACUACUCGAAAGAGUGGCUAAUACCGCAUGAGAUCUACGGAGGAAAGCAGGGGAUCGCAAGACCCUGUGCUACUAGAGCGGCCGAUGGCAGAUUAGGUAGUUGGUGGGAUAAAAGCUUACCAAGCAGACGAUCUGUAGCUGGUCUGUGAGGACGAUCAGCCACACUGGGACUGAGACACGGCCCAGACUCCUACGGGAGGCAGCAGUGGGGAAUUUUGGACAAUGGGCGAAAGCCUGAUCCAGCAAUGCCGCGUGCAGGAUGAAGGCCUUCGGGUUGUAAACUGCUUUUGUACGGAACGAAAAGCCCCGGGUUAAUACCCUGGGGUCAUGACGGUACCGUAAGAAUAAGCACCGGCUAACUACGUGCCAGCCGCCGCGGUAA
Molecule: ribosomal RNA, 498 nt
Filed under: uncultured bacterium
Lineage: Bacteria
Description: partial 16S ribosomal RNA
Rfam family: Bacterial small subunit ribosomal RNA
Source: RNAcentral